GGGUGAGUAACACGUGGGUAACCUGCCUGUAAGACUGGGAUAACUCCGGGAAACCGGGGCUAAUACCGGAUGCUUGAUUGAACCGCAUGGUUCAAUCAUAAAAGGUGGCUUUUAGCUACCACUUACAGAUGGACCCGCGGCGCAUUAGCUAGUUGGUGAGGUAACGGCUCACCAAGGCGACGAUGCGUAGCCGACCUGAGAGGGUGAUCGGCCACACUGGGACUGAGACACGGCCCAGACUCCUACGGGAGGCAGCAGUAGGGAAUCUUCCGCAAUGGACGAAAGUCUGUCGGAGCAACGCCGCGUGAGUGAUGAAGGUUUUCGGAUCGUAAAACUCUGUUGUUAGGGAAGAACAAGUACCGUUCGAAUAGGGCGGCACCUUGACGGUACCUAACCAGAAAGCCACGGCUAACUACGUGCCAGCAGCCGCGGUAAUACGUAGGUGGCAAGCGUUGUCCGGAAUUAUUGGGCGUAAAGCGCGCGCAGGCGGUUUCUUAAGUCUGAUGUGAAAGCCCCCGGCUCAACCGGGGAGGGUCAUUGGAAACUGGGGAACUUGAGUGCAGAAGAGGAGAGUGGAAUUCCACGUGUAGCGGUGAAAUGCGUAGAGAUGUGGAGGAACACCAGUGGCGAAGGCGACUCUCUGGU
This 645-nucleotide ribosomal RNA is filed under the name uncultured Bacilli bacterium. Its description in RNAcentral is "bacterial SSU rRNA". It matches the Rfam family "Bacterial small subunit ribosomal RNA", at positions 104 to 733 of the family's 1533-position model. Lineage: Bacteria; Bacillati; Bacillota; Bacilli. The record is from RNAcentral.